AUUGAACGCUGGCGGCAUGCCUUACACAUGCAAGUCGAACGGCAGCACGGGAGCAAUCCUGGUGGCGAGUGGCGAACGGGUGAGUAAUAUAUCGGAACGUGCCCAGUCGUGGGGAUAACGUAGCGAAAGCUACGCUAAUACCGCAUACGAUCUAUGGAUGAAAGCGGGGGAUCGCAAGACCUCGCGCGAUUGGAGCGGCCGAUAUCAGAUUAGGUAGUUGGUGAGGUAAAGGCUCACCAAGCCGACGAUCUGUAGCUGGUCUGAGAGGACGACCAGCCACACUGGGACUGAGACACGGCCCAGACUCCUACGGAGGCAGCAGUGGGGAAUUUUGGACAAUGGCGCAAGCCCUGAUCCAGCAAUGCGCGUGCAGGAUGAAGGCCUU
This 385-nucleotide ribosomal RNA is filed under the name uncultured bacterium. RNAcentral describes it as "bacterial SSU rRNA". It matches the Rfam family "Bacterial small subunit ribosomal RNA", at positions 30 to 418 of the family's 1533-position model. The record is from RNAcentral.